This 601-nucleotide ribosomal RNA is filed under the name uncultured bacterium. RNAcentral's name for it is "bacterial SSU rRNA". It matches the Rfam family "Bacterial small subunit ribosomal RNA", at positions 246 to 863 of the family's 1533-position model. The record is from RNAcentral.
UAGUUGGUAAGGUAAAGGCUUACCAAGGCGACGAUCUUUAGCUGGUCUGAGAGGAUGACCAGCCACAUCGGGACUGAGACACGGCCCGGACUCCUACGGGAGGCAGCAGUCGGGAAUAUUGGACAAUGGGCGCAAGCCUGAUCCAGCAAUACCGCGUGUGUGAAGAAGGCCUGCGGGUUGUAAAGCACUUUCAGUUGGGAAGAUAAUGACGUUACCAACAGAAGAAGCACCGGCUAACUCCGUGCCGGCAGCCGCGGUAAUACGGAGGGUGCAAGCGUUAAUCGGAAUUACUGGGCGUAAAGCGCACGUAGGCGGUUUUCUAAGUCAGAUGUGAAAUCCCCGGGCUUAACCUGGGAACUGCACCUGAUACUGGAAGACUAGAAUGUGGGAGAGGAGAGUGGAAUUUCCGGUGUAGCGGUGAAAUGCAUAGAGAUCGGAAGGAACACCAGUGGCGAAGGCGGCUCUCUGGACCAACAUUGACGCUGAGGUGCGAAAGCGUGGGUAGCAAACAGGAUUAGAUACCCUGGUAGUCCACGCCGUAAACGAUGUCAACUAGCCGCUAGUCUCGCUUUAGAGAUUGGUGGUGCAGCUAACGCAUUAA